Molecule: ribosomal RNA, 606 nt
Filed under: uncultured bacterium
Lineage: Bacteria
Description: bacterial SSU rRNA
Rfam family: Bacterial small subunit ribosomal RNA (bases 1-517)
Source: RNAcentral
CCUACGGGAGGCAGCAGUGGGGAAUUUUCCGCAAUGGGCGAAAGCCUGACGGAGCAAUACCGCGUGAGGGACGAAGGCUUUUGGGUCGUAAACCUCUUUUCUCAAGGAAGAUAAUGACGGUACUUGAGGAAUAAGCAUCGGCUAACUCCGUGCCAGCAGCCGCGGUAAUACGGAGGAUGCAAGCGUUAUCCGGAAUGAUUGGGCGUAAAGCGUCCGCAGGCGGUUUUUAAAAGUCUGCUGUUAAAGCGUUAGGCUCAACCUAAUAAGGGCAGUGGAAACUAUAAGACUAGAGUACGUUAGGGGCAGAGGGAAUUCCCAGUGUAGCGGUGAAAUGCGUAGAGAUUGGGAAGAACACCGGUGGCGAAAGCGCUCUGCUAGGACUGUACUGACGCUGAGGGACGAAAGCUAGGGGAGCGAAUGGGAUUAGAUACCCCAGUAGUCCUAGCCGUAAACGAUGGAUACUAGGCGUUGCCCGUAUCGACCCGGGCAUGUCGUAGCUACGACGUAGUACUCCGCCGUCGGGUAGGUACGCGCGCAGUGUAGUAACGUAAAGUAAGUAGACGGCGUGAGACGNGCGAACGGACGACCGACGAGGGGUAGGUUAGG